This 837-nucleotide ribosomal RNA is filed under the name Bacillus sp. PS-39. RNAcentral's name for it is "bacterial SSU rRNA". It matches the Rfam family "Bacterial small subunit ribosomal RNA", at positions 511 to 1348 of the family's 1533-position model. Lineage: Bacteria; Bacillati; Bacillota; Bacilli; Caryophanales; Bacillaceae. The record is from RNAcentral.
GCAGCCGCGGUAAUACGUAGGUGGCAAGCGUUGUCCGGAAUUAUUGGGCGUAAAGCGCGCGCAGGCGGUUUCUUAAGUCUGAUGUGAAAGCCCCCGGCUCAACCGGGGAGGGUCAUUGGAAACUGGGGAACUUGAGUGCAGAAGAGGAGAGUGGAAUUCCACGUGUAGCGGUGAAAUGCGUAGAGAUGUGGAGGAACACCAGUGGCGAAGGCGACUCUCUGGUCUGUAACUGACGCUGAGGCGCGAAAGCGUGGGGAGCGAACAGGAUUAGAUACCCUGGUAGUCCACGCCGUAAACGAUGAGUGCUAAGUGUUAGAGGGUUUCCGCCCUUUAGUGCUGCAGCAAACGCAUUAAGCACUCCGCCUGGGGAGUACGGUCGCAAGACUGAAACUCAAAGGAAUUGACGGGGGCCCGCACAAGCGGUGGAGCAUGUGGUUUAAUUCGAAGCAACGCGAAGAACCUUACCAGGUCUUGACAUCCUCUGACAACCCUAGAGAUAGGGCUUCCCCUUCGGGGGCAGAGUGACAGGUGGUGCAUGGUUGUCGUCAGCUCGUGUCGUGAGAUGUUGGGUUAAGUCCCGCAACGAGCGCAACCCUUGAUCUUAGUUGCCAGCAUUCAGUUGGGCACUCUAAGGUGACUGCCGGUGACAAACCGGAGGAAGGUGGGGAUGACGUCAAAUCAUCAUGCCCCUUAUGACCUGGGCUACACACGUGCUACAAUGGGCAGAACAAAGGGCAGCGAAGCCGCGAGGCUAAGCCAAUCCCACAAAUCUGUUCUCAGUUCGGAUCGCAGUCUGCAACUCGACUGCGUGAAGCUGGAAUCGCUAGUAAUCGCGAU